This is a long non-coding RNA of Culex quinquefasciatus (southern house mosquito), 982 nucleotides long. RefSeq lists it as uncharacterized. The transcript is spliced from 2 exons. NCBI's taxonomy places the organism in Eukaryota, Metazoa, Arthropoda, Insecta, Diptera, Culicidae. The record is from RefSeq and is a predicted model, not a curated record.
UUUAUUGUUUUUGUAUUUGUAUUUGUAUUUGUAUCUUUAUUUCAAAAAUAUACAUAAGGGCAAGCCUUUUAUCGUAUACAGAGACAUCAUUUAGUUCGAAUAUGAUAAAACUACAAACAAAAAAAAAACUUAAAACUAACUAAAAAUUAGGUUAGAGUACAUGAAAUGAUCAUUGUAUAAACAAAGAGAAAUAACUUAACCUAAAAACAAAUGAAAAUGACUUCAACAAGAAGAAUUUAGACGAUGAGGCAAAGCGUUCCACAGGCGUGCGCCACGGACUACGAAUGAAUUCCCCAGAUAAUUAGUAUGAUGAGUUGGAAUUAGAAUGUUAUGUGUACGUUGUGAUCUACUAAAGGAAAAUUCUUCAUAUAGAUAAGUUGGCUCUUUGAAUUUAAUAAGUUUAAACAAAAAAACAAGAAGCUGCAAAUGAAAAUAUUUUUGUAAAGGUAUGCCAAGAAUUGACGACUGAUAUUGAGAAACAUGGUCAUAUCUGCGUAAAUUGUAAAUGAAUCUAAUACAACUAUUGAAACAAACUUUUAAAUGACGUUCAGUUUCUGCUGACAAAUGAGAGAAAAUUACAUUACCGUAAAUAAAGUGAGGUAAAAGAAGAGUUUUUACUAGUUUUGUUUUAGUAUCAAUUGAUAAAGUGUUUCUAUGUUGGUUUAAAAUUCGUAAAGUUGUAUAAACCUUCCUAAUAAUAAAAGAUACAUGAUCGUUCCAGGUUAGGUGUUUGUUCAUAACUAUUCCAAGAUUGUUUACUUUAUCAACUAUUUCAAUUAUAUCGUUGUCUAUUGUAAUGGGCGGUAAUACAGGUAGAUCAGAAUUAGGACGAGUAAAAAUUAUGGCUUUUGUUUUAGAUGCGUUAAGUACUAGACCAUUAUUGCGACAAAAAUUUAAAAUGGAUAAAAGAUCAGCGUUCAGCAAAGAAAUAUAGUGAGGAAGUUCUGAAAUAGGACAAGAUAAAUAAACUUGGGUGUCAUCG